Microtus oregoni (creeping vole) is the source of this 105-nucleotide small nuclear RNA. The record is from RefSeq and is a predicted model, not a curated record. Lineage: Eukaryota; Metazoa; Chordata; Mammalia; Rodentia; Cricetidae.
GCUCACUUCGGCAGUGCAUAUACUAAAAUUGGAACGACACAGAGAAGAUUGGCGUGGCCCCUGCAAGAGGAUGGCACGCAAAUCCGUGAUGCGUUAAAAAAAGAA